GCGUCUGUAACUCAGUUGGUUCAGAGUGCAACCCUUACAAGGUUGAAGUCGUAGGUUCGAAUCCUACCAGACGCACUA
Molecule: transfer RNA, 78 nt
Filed under: Spirochaetota bacterium
Lineage: Bacteria; Pseudomonadati; Spirochaetota
Description: Spirochaetes bacterium tRNA-Val
Rfam family: tRNA
About the family: Transfer RNA (tRNA) molecules are approximately 80 nucleotides in length.
Source: RNAcentral